UUUUUGUUUUUCUUUCCAGCAGGAAACAGCUUUUGGAGCUUCUUUGCUAUCAAAAGAAGGAUUCAAAGAACCAGCCACCCCAAUCUGAUCUCCUGUACCAGUCAAUCAGAGCUGAUCCUGAGCAGCUGGAAGAGAAAGAUUCAGGUGUUGGCACUUACAGUUCCUGUGUGCUGAUGGACUACUUCUGCCCAGCUGCAGGCAGUGUUUUUGUGAGUUCUUCAGGUGGCCCUUAUAUUUUUGUUUCUGUGUCAGCUAAUAGAACAAAUUCUUCUGCAGAAGCUUGGAUAGGUUGAAGCUACACUGAAGAGUUCCUAGCUGGAAGUUUCGUAAAGAACUGUUUCCUAUGGUUUAUGGUGUAUGGUUUGUAUAAGGAAAUACCAACUGAAUGCCUGCACAAAAACAAGCUGUCUUCCCAUCUGCUAGUAAGGAGUGAGGGAAGCCAUUUUGAAGAUAAUUGUUGAAACUGCAGAACUUUUAAAUGUUUCUGGUCAGUCUUAUAUGUUUUAUACAAACAAGAGGAUUUGCAGAGAGAAGUGGACUACAGCAUAGAAUCCACUGCAUUGUACUUUCGCAGUAGCCAAGUGUUCUCUUCUAUAGGCUAGUUAUAGAAAAUGGAUAAGAAAAAUAUAUAGGAUUUAAAGGUUCAGUUGGCAAAAAGUUUAUUAGUGGUCAGCUGUUCUGGUAGUUUGACACUGAACCUGAAUUUUUUUCUAUAUACAUAUCAGGCUUAUUAGCAGUAUUUUUACAAUGGACUUUGAUAUUUAGGAUAUUGAUCAAUAAUUUUUUCUUCCAUGCUUUUAAGACUUGGAGUAAUAAAGGGAGAGUCGAUGCUAGAAGGGAGUUUAGGACCAAGUGUAUGAAAGUACUUAAUUCCUUGGAAUGACUAUAGAGCUGCAAUUUCUGAGUCUUCUGAGAUGCUGCAUUUGGGAAAAAAUAUUCUAUCUCUGAUAUUUACUUUAAAAAUAUGUUCCACUGACAUUCACCAGUAAAGAUCUGUGCACUGAAACAAAAGCAAACCGUGCUAUCUGCCGUUUUAACUCUCGGACUCUGUCUGUUUAAGAGGAGAGUGUAAGAGAGAUUGAUUUGAAUCAAAGACAAAUAUUUAAAUGGCAUCCUGAAAGGAAAACCUUUAGCAGCUUAUUUUUCAAUGCUGAGACAUCUUAAAUAAGCAAACUCCACAGUACACAAAUAAACCAAAUUACAACAGCAUGCUACUGAUUUUAUUGCUGCUGUUGAUGCUUUCCUGUUCCCAGUGCUCAGCUCACAUUUCUUCUAGUGGUUCCUCUCUGACUUCUUGCAUUGCUAUGGAGUGGAGAUAAAAAGAAAGCAGGUAUUGAUGUGUAUCCGCUGAAUAUAUCAGGUAUAUCUCAGUGCUGUAGAAGAAUGUGCUUCACAGAUGCGUGUUAUGUUAGCUUCACCUUCAGAAUGAAUUCUGUAUAAUUUAAUGCAAUUUUAAAACAAGACCUGGAGAAUUCAUCUGAAGAAAUUUUAUGUCUGAUAUCAAAAACUUCAUUUCUUUUCCAGUAGUAGCUAUUAUUGCUACUAUUUAAAACAUAACCAGGCAAGGCCUAGAAUUGUACUUUUACACCAUUAUGGAUAUCUCUGUAGUCAUUUGUGUUUAUAGGGUCAAUUCUCUGCCAAGAGUAUGAAGUGCUGCUUAGAACUUGUUAUCUCCAUAGUACAGUAGCUUCUGCUUAACUUGAA
Non-coding RNA from Coturnix japonica (Japanese quail), 1704 nucleotides. The record is from RefSeq and is a predicted model, not a curated record. NCBI's taxonomy places the organism in Eukaryota, Metazoa, Chordata, Aves, Galliformes, Phasianidae.